UCCCGGCCGGGCCCCUACCUCCGAGCACGGCCAGCCGGAGGCGGGGCAGGGGGAGGCGGCAGGGCUAGGGGACCCCCUAACCACCGGGACCUCUCUGUCUCGCCCCUACUCUGGGCAGCCGCCUUGGUGCCAGCGCCUUUGCCUUCUAGCCCAGGAACAUUUAUUGGAUACCUACUGUAUGCGCAGCAUCGAGGCAGGUCUUGAGGUGGGCGACGGGUUGGACAAAGGGUCUCCAGGCUAAGGGACCCCGUCAAAGGGGCCAAAGGGACAGUCACCACCACGGUGAAAUCAUUUAUACCUGAGUGCAUUUUACCUGGAACAACCCUAGGGGACCAGCCACUUCACAGACCUGCAAACAGGCCUGGAGAGGGAAAAGACCCACGAAGCUUCCUCAGCUCCAUUUGGGCCCAGGGAUGUGAGAUUCGGAAUCCAUGCUCUUCACCACCCAGCUCUUCCUCUGUCUCCAAUAUAGGAAGGUAGCUGAGUCCAGGCACAGCCCCAGUCUGCCCUCCUCCCCAGCCCAGCCAGGCCCCCUGCACAUACCUGGUUCCCAGGGGUCAGGCACAGCCAGCCCAGGCAAUUCCCCAUGUGAGCCGUAGAAGCAGGCUUGGCGCAGUCCUCCUCUCCCUCUCCUCUCUCCGGGGCCCUGGCCUGGGCUCCCCGGCCCCCACCCAAGCACAGGGCUCGCCUCUGGGCAGCCUCCUGGGCCAUGGCCCCCUGGGUGCCCAUAUCCCGGCAGCUGCCCCUAAAAGCCACUUAGGCUGAGGCGCCAUGGCUGCUCGCCACCCCCACCCCUGCGAUUCCUGGCUAAGGCUGCCUCAGGCUCCCGCCCGGCCAGCCACUUCCAUCUAUCUGUCUGCAUGUCCACAGGCUGCCUGUCUGGCCUAUGGCUGGCCUCCCUGGACACAGCCUGAUGCUGCCACCCUUGGAGUCUAUGAAGAUGGCUGUGGGCAGUGUGAACCACCACCACGCACCCCACAUACCACACCUGUUUGGGCUUAGCGGUCAUCCCACACCAACCAGGUCUACCCAAAACCUGGCAGGCUGUAGCUUCGUGACCACACUAGAGUCGAGGGAGGUGGCUGGAUACCCCCUGGGUAAGGGGGCUUGCAGACCUUACCCCCCCUGGGUGGGGCAGACUCCUGAUCAGCCUUGGGCAUACACCAUCCUUCCCUGGCCCAGGACUCAGCUGAUUCCUACUCCCAGUGACUGAAGAUGGGAUGGGGGGCCGGGAGCAGUGGCUCACGCCUGUAAUCCCAACACUUUGGGAGGCCGAGGCGGGUGGAUCACCUGAGGUCAGGAGUUCGAGACCAGCCUGGCCAACAUGGCGAAACCCUGUCUCUACUAAAAAUACGAAAAAAAAUAGCCAGGCGUGGUGGUGGGCACCUGUAAUCCCAGCUACUGGGGAGGCUGAGGCAGGAGAAUCGCUUGAACCCAGGAGGCGGAGGUUGCAGUGAGCUGAGAUUGCGUCACUGCACUCCAGCCUGGGCGACAGAGCUAGACACCGUCUCAAAAACAAUAAAUAAAUAAUUUAAAAAUAAAUAAAAAAAUAAAAGAUGGGAUGGAGAACAGCAUGGCGGAGGGAAGGGCCACAAGGGACAUGAGGUCACAACCAGGGGCAGAAACCAAGAAAAUAUCACCAGACACACUGCUGCUACAGAGUAACAAAAGAGUCCCCAAAGCCACGAAGGAGCUGAAGAAGGGCUGAGGAGAGUAACAGAGUAGCAAAGGGCCGGGCAACAAAGGAAGUGGGCCUCGCAAAGCAGGGAGCAGGAGGAAUGAAGCAGCCGGAGAGGAACCAGAGGUCACAAUUUCAGAGGAGGUGCAGAGUCAGUGAGAGGGGACAGUGAGUUCAGGGGCCUGAAGGAACAGGCAAGGAAGGGUGACCUAGAAGCUCUGGGGGGCAAACCCUUCCAGGCCUCUUCUCCAGCCAGCCUCCGGAAGCUCUCAGCCCUGGUCUGAGGCUGACCUUGGCCCCCACGGGUGCUGCACUAGAGGCAGAGAAAGGCGAAGGGAAGCACUUGGGCAAAGGUGUUCAGGGGCCGCCAAGUGCUUGGUGUCUUGAAGAGAGGGCUAGGGAGGUGGACGGGAGGGAGUAGGGCCGGCAUUGAGAGGAGGGUGGACUUUAUUUUCCUGGUUCUGUGGGGUGCAGAUGGCGUGGGGGUGACGUGGGCUCCCAGGGCAGCAGCAGGAGG
Long non-coding RNA from Pongo pygmaeus (Bornean orangutan), 2195 nucleotides. RefSeq lists it as uncharacterized. The transcript is spliced from 2 exons. Lineage: Eukaryota; Metazoa; Chordata; Mammalia; Primates; Hominidae. The record is from RefSeq and is a predicted model, not a curated record.